UUUUAUGAGAGUUUGAUCCUGGCUCAGGACGAACGCUGGCGGCGUGCCUAAUACAUGCAAGUCGAACGCUUCUUUUUCCACCGGAGCUUGCUCCACCGGAAAAAGAGGAGUGGCGAACGGGUGAGUAACACGUGGGUAACCUGCCCAUCAGAAGGGGAUAACACUUGGAAACAGGUGCUAAUACCGUAUAACAAUCGAAACCGCAUGGUUUUGAUUUGAAAGGCGCUUUCGGGUGUCGCUGAUGGAUGGACCCGCGGUGCAUUAGCUAGUUGGUGAGGUAACGGCUCACCAAGGCCACGAUGCAUAGCCGACCUGAGAGGGUGAUCGGCCACAUUGGGACUGAGACACGGCCCAAACUCCUACGGGAGGCAGCAGUAGGGAAUCUUCGGCAAUGGACGAAAGUCUGACCGAGCAACGCCGCGUGAGUGAAGAAGGUUUUCGGAUCGUAAAACUCUGUUGUUAGAGAAGAACAAGGAUGAGAGUAACUGUUCAUCCCUUGACGGUAUCUAACCAGAAAGCCACGGCUAACUACGUGCCAGCAGCCGCGGUAAUACGUAGGUGGCAAGCGUUGUCCGGAUUUAUUGGGCGUAAAGCGAGCGCAGGCGGUUUCUUAAGUCUGAUGUGAAAGCCCCCGGCUCAACCGGGGAGGGUCAUUGGAAACUGGGAGACUUGAGUGCAGAAGAGGAGAGUGGAAUUCCAUGUGUAGCGGUGAAAUGCGUAGAUAUAUGGAGGAACACCAGUGGCGAAGGCGGCUCUCUGGUCUGUAACUGACGCUGAGGCUCGAAAGCGUGGGGAGC
This 797-nucleotide ribosomal RNA is filed under the name Enterococcus faecium. RNAcentral describes it as "bacterial SSU rRNA". It matches the Rfam family "Bacterial small subunit ribosomal RNA", at positions 1 to 769 of the family's 1533-position model. RNAcentral also lists the same sequence under 4 other names. Lineage: Bacteria; Bacillati; Bacillota; Bacilli; Lactobacillales; Enterococcaceae. The record is from RNAcentral.